RNAcentral lists this ribosomal RNA (553 nucleotides) under Trichoderma harzianum. RNAcentral's name for it is "eukaryotic LSU rRNA". The stretch from base 166 to 319 matches the Rfam family "5.8S ribosomal RNA". The record is from RNAcentral. Lineage: Eukaryota; Fungi; Ascomycota; Sordariomycetes; Hypocreales; Hypocreaceae.
CCAAACUGUUGCCUCGGCGGGAUCUCUGCCCCGGGUGCGUCGCAGCCCCGGACCAAGGCGCCCGCCGGAGGACCAACCAAAACUCUUUUUGUAUACCCCCUCGCGGGUUUUUUUAUAAUCUGAGCCUUCUCGGCGCCUCUCGUAGGCGUUUCGAAAAUGAAUCAAAACUUUCAACAACGGAUCUCUUGGUUCUGGCAUCGAUGAAGAACGCAGCGAAAUGCGAUAAGUAAUGUGAAUUGCAGAAUUCAGUGAAUCAUCGAAUCUUUGAACGCACAUUGCGCCCGCCAGUAUUCUGGCGGGCAUGCCUGUCCGAGCGUCAUUUCAACCCUCGAACCCCUCCGGGGGGUCGGCGUUGGGGAUCGGCCCUGCCUUGGCGGUGGCCGUCUCCGAAAUACAGUGGCGGUCUCGCCGCAGCCUCUCCUGCGCAGUAGUUUGCACACUCGCAUCGGGAGCGCGGCGCGUCCACAGCCGUUAAACACCCAACUUCUGAAAUGUUGACCUCGGAUCAGGUAGGAAUACCCGCUGAACUUAAGCAUAUCAAUAAGCCGGAGGA